CUUUCUACACAGAGACCUCUACUGCACAGAGAUCCAGCCAUGGCACCUACAAUCACUUCAGAAAGGAUCCACUCUAAGGAGCACCUGAGUCUGACCAACGAGCUAAGAAAGCCAGUAGUGGAAAAGUUAUUAAGAAAUAGACUUCAAGAUGGAGAAAUCAGGCAUCCUGGAGCUGACAGUUUUCUUCCUGAUAUGACAACAACAGUACCAGCCAGUGAACUCCCCCUCAUGCUAAGCUCCUGUCAAUCAGGGUUACUCCAGGAUUGAAGAGAUUGUGCACUUCCUGUCCAAGGAUGAGGUGAAGACACAUUCCAGAGAAGACUGCUGAGCCACUUGCAGAUACUUCAGCCAUCCUCUGAUAAGAACAGAAGGGAGAGUGACCUGUCUCAGCUGAGUCCACCACUCCAGCACAGCAUAAGUAAAGAGCAGAGUCCAGUCAACAGCGCCCUCUGGAGGCCCUGGUAGAGUUUCACAGACUGGAGCUCCACUCCGAGACAGAAACAUAAUGGACCAUGUUGGUCUUACAUUAAUGUUGUGGAAAGUAAUGACAAUGUAUAGAGACACAAUCUUCUGCUUAGGCAGGACAUUUAAAAGUUAUCUUUUGAUUGUG
Oncorhynchus masou masou (cherry salmon) is the source of this 610-nucleotide long non-coding RNA. RefSeq lists it as uncharacterized. The transcript has 2 exons. Lineage: Eukaryota; Metazoa; Chordata; Actinopteri; Salmoniformes; Salmonidae. The record is from RefSeq and is a predicted model, not a curated record.